CAACUUUUUAGAAUAAAAUGAACUCCAACAUAGUUUGUUCCAAAUCCACUAGAAUCCUUGUAGAAUAGUCGAGGACCCCAUUUCCAAGGGGUACCUGUUGAAAAUAAUUUCAACAAAUCCGUCCAAAACUUUUUAAGAAAAAUUAAAAAGUUUUGAACUCGAAAGUUUUUCCAAAAGAUGCCUGUUAAAAAUUGUUUCAAUCUCUCACCAAAACAAAUAAGAAG
RNAcentral lists this long non-coding RNA (224 nucleotides) under Setaria italica (foxtail millet). RNAcentral's name for it is "long non-coding RNA (SITA_LNC003049)". Lineage: Eukaryota; Viridiplantae; Streptophyta; Magnoliopsida; Poales; Poaceae. The record is from RNAcentral.